CAGUAACAUGCUACAGUGUACAACAGUACUACGUAGUAUUUCUGCUACAGUACUGCACAGUGUAUAUACUAUAGUAAUUAGCUACAGUACAGCUACAUUACUACUAUGAACAGUAAUGAACAGUAAUAUAAACAAGCUUAAAAUAUAAAGAAAGCUUAAAACAUAAUUAACAACAGUAAAAUGAAGAGAAAAUAGGCUUUAUUUAUAAAAGCACACUUACAUAAAAUCUGAUGAAAUUGAAAUACGCAUCGUACAAACUUUAUGUACACUAAUCAAGCUUAAACAAACUUAAAUACGAACCACAAGUACUAAUAUAUGCUAAUACAUAAGUAAACACACUAAUAAGCACGCUUAUUUACAAACUCACAUAGAUUAACGGAGCUAAAUGAUCGAGUUAUGUGGAGAUUUCUGUGGAGGAAGAGGAGAAGGGAAUAUUGUAAUGGGAAGGAAGGAGG
RNAcentral lists this long non-coding RNA (455 nucleotides) under Elaeis guineensis (African oil palm). RNAcentral's name for it is "long non-coding RNA (EGUI_LNC066750)". The record is from RNAcentral. Lineage: Eukaryota; Viridiplantae; Streptophyta; Magnoliopsida; Arecales; Arecaceae.